GAGGAGGUGAGAUACUGGGAAGGAGGCGGGGGCUCCAACCAGAGGGUCGGGGCAGCGGAGGAAAUGGGCGGCCCCCCUCUGCUGGUUUCCCUCCCGUCAGAGUGGCACCCAGCGCUGGCCGUUAGCCUGGGCGAUCUGCAGUUCAGACCCGGCUGGCUGGAGGGCGAGGACACGUGUGGGUGGAGCGGUCCUCCAUCCCGGAGCCACCAUCAGGGGACACUGUCUUCCGACACUACUAUUCAGAACUCAUACACAUGGUGAAGUUCAGGCCAGCUCCGCCCCCGCUUCCAGGCCCCCUUCCCGGGGUUGCGGGGUACUCAGACGACCGGCCUUCGUACUGUGAACCUGUCAGGCUUCCAGGAAGCCCCGAAAGUUGAGGAAGGUGCCUCCAGCUCUCGAACCCGCGCCUCCUGGGGCCCCAGGUGCUAGGCGUGUCCUUGUAGCGCCUCCACCUCCCCCUCCAGGUGGGACAACCUGUCCCGGAGCAGCCCCAGCUCAGCCAACAAGUUCUCUGUGCGUGGGGCCUGGGGCUCUCCUGGGACAUGGCCACGGGUGCCCUGCUCAGCGUCAGCCACGUGCAGGGACACCUGUCCUUCCCGGAACAGCUGAAACAGAUGUUUCCACCUUUGGUUGUUUUCUUCAGACAUUCUGAGCAAUUCCUUCAGUUCAGACACUUCCCUGGACAGAUUUUAAUAAUGUCCCUCUUUCUGUGAAAAGCUGUCUUCGCAGAUUUAAGUUUCCUGUCAAACUCAUACAAAGCUUUAUCCAUGAGUUUCAGUCCAGUUCGGCAGCUCUUCCAGCUCCUCCUGUUCUAAGGCAGGGAAUCCCUCUCACCCGCUGGAGAGAACUCUCCAGAAAACCAAGACACCCCAGGUGACACAGCACCAGAAGAGCCGGCUAAACCUGGUCCUAGGCCAGAGGUCUCCAGGCCCGCGGCCCAUCAGCGCCUCGGCAGAGACCCACCAGGGGACUACACCCUGCACGGCUCCAAGCUCCGGCCACGAGGUGCUGGCUUUCCCGAGCCUGUCUCCCAGGGACGCAGCCACCACCAACGUCUGCACAGACAGCCGCCUACCCAGCCCCCACGGUGGAAGGCCGAGGCCUGCCUAGGCCAGUGGUCUCGGAUUGCUCCCGACUGGGUGAGGACCUGGAUCCCGGGCCUAGGGGCCGAAGUUGGCAUUUUUCUCCCUGGGAGCCCUAAUGCGACGUGGCCCAGCAACUGCUUGUAAGUGCAUCCUGUUUCUGUUGUCUUCCUUCUGCCAGAGCUAGCUUUGCUCCCCACUUCAGCAUUUCGGAUUGCCAGGGGGCUAGCCGCUGCCCUUGAGGGGGUGAAGGGUCAGUGUUGGAAGGCCUGGAGGGAGGGUCUGCAGGGCUGUGGAGAUGCAGGUGGGCCUCUCUGCGAGAGGGAGGUUUCCCUUGGCUGAGUGGGGAGCCCAUCUUGGGAACAAAGGGGCUGGAGAAUACAGGUGGGCGAGCGCACGUGGCAUUCUGAGGGCAGGCCAGGGGCAGCCCCCCGCCAAAGGCAUUGCCAGGUGCAGAGAGGUUGGAAGGAGGCCGUGCAGGCAGAUGGAGUUUCGGGGGGCCCUUAAUGUGAGGGGACUGCUGCUCUCUGCUGACCAGGGAGUGCUCGGCGCAGACCCCAGCUUCAUGGUCCAUGAGAAGAUGAGGGUCUGUGGGCUUCUGUCUGCUCCUGCUGGAUGGCCCUUGGCUGAGAGGGGCCUCAACUGCAGGCAGCUUGGUGGGCAGCGGGCAGGGGUCCGCAGGGCGCUCUCAGCUGCAUAUGAAGGUGGCCCCUUGUCCUGGGAGGAGACUGAGCCAGACCUUGGACUUUGGUUCCCCAAGUUGCGGGGCACCCAAAGGCCUCUUGGUGGGGACCCUGGAUGGAGAACAUGCAACUGCGCAUAUGUUGCGGAAUGGCGGACCGUGGGAUGGGGCUUUUCCGGCCACGGGAGGACACUCAAGCCCAGUCAGAUAAGCUGGAGGGCCGUCAGGCUCAGCGGGGGCCAGGGGCAUCCCAGUGUGCAUUAGUGACUGACCUUUGCCGGGCCUGGAGUCCAAGGGGACCUUGGUUUUAAGGUGCCUAGGUGGGUGACCACACAAGAGCCUGUGACCCCUGGUCUGUGGCUGCCCUGGACUCUGCGGGGAGCCCACUGAGAGGUUUGCUGGCCCUGGGCAGGAAUCCCGGGAAAUCUCCCUAUGAGUCAGCAACAGUCGUUCGUGGAACACGACGUGCGAUGCUGCUCCAAGGUUUACAAGUGUCCAAGUCCGGGUUCGAGGCCGCCCUCUGCUCAGCGCUGAGCUGGAGGCCAGGCGCGUUUCGGGGGCGCUACGCUGGCGUGUGCGGAGCCGGUGUGCGGCCCCGGAGGCCUGAGGGUCCCCUGCGUUCCGGUUCUCGGCGCCCCCGAUCUCCUGCUGCGGGAGGGGAACACCAAGGCGAGGAGUCGGGCCAGCUCCGUCCGCCGAAGCGGGUGCGCCAGGCGCCGCGUGCGGGUGCGCGGACUCGCAAGCCCACCUAGCGGAGCCAAAGUGGCCUCGAACAUGAACGUGGAGUACACGGUAUGGGCCAGAGGCCCGGGUCAGGAAGAAUGGGCGCCGGUGGCCAGAAGGGCGGCCGAAGAGGCGGCGAGGAGAAGCAGGAGCGGCGACAGCCACCCAUCUCGCCUCUCCGCUCAGCUCUCCCUGCGACACCGCAGCGGCGCCCGGCAGGUAUACGCGCCCCGUGCGUCACCCCGCCUCUCUGUGACGUCACGUGCACC
Molecule: long non-coding RNA, 2756 nt
Organism: Bos taurus (domestic cattle)
Lineage: Eukaryota; Metazoa; Chordata; Mammalia; Artiodactyla; Bovidae
Source: Ensembl